RNAcentral lists this long non-coding RNA (1052 nucleotides) under Homo sapiens (human). RNAcentral's name for it is "HSALNT0154407". The record is from RNAcentral. Lineage: Eukaryota; Metazoa; Chordata; Mammalia; Primates; Hominidae.
GAAAAAGAGAGAAGAAAUUGAAAAUUAUGACAGUGGGUUUGGAGUUUCUCCUGUAAGUGAUUGGGAGCCAUUGAAGGAUUACAAGUAGUUGAAUAAAUCAAAAUAGUUUUUGAGAAGGAAGUUUCCCUGGAAGAAUGAUGCAUGAGUGUAAGUGAAUGAGAAUAACAUUUACAGGAAAUCUUAGAGUGAGAGGACAUAAUUUUCUCCUUCCAAUAUCUCCUUCUGGCUGACUAAGAUAAAAUGGAUAAAUGGGUAAGAUAUUUGGAACUUGGAUCAUAAAAUGGAGUUACAUGUUGAGAAUUGCAGUGCAUUGAGAAGCAUGGUGUCCAGGUUAUCUGCCAAUAGUCAAGCCUCUAUGCAGGCUUUUAACUGUGUAUGUUUACAUAAGCAUGAGAGACAGAUAUAUUUCUAUUUUGUUUAAAACACUCUUAUUUUUGGUUUACAAAUUGUUGUAGCUGAACUUAAUACACGGGAACAUUUUCAAAAGAGGGCUGGGCACAGUGGCUCACUCCUGUAAUUCCAGCAUUGGGAGGCAGAGUUGGGAGGAUUGUUUGAGGCCAGGAGUUUGAGGCCAACUUGGGCAACAUAGUGAAAUCCAGUCUCUGUAAAAGACUUAAAAAUUAGCUGGGCAUGGUUGCAUAUGCCUGUAGACCCAGCUACUUGGGAGGCUGAAGAAGAAGGAUCACUUGAGCCCAAGAGGUUGAGGCUGCAGUGAGCUAUUAUUUCACCACUGCAUGCCAGCCAGGGUGACAGAGUGAAAAAGUCUCAAAAAAAAAAAAAAAAAAAAAAAAAAGAAAAGAGUACACAACUUUCAUAAUUUCAUAAUUUUUCUUUCAAGAACAGCUAAUAAAAAUAUUUUGAGCUUGCUUACCAUAAACUUCACAAUCAUGUAUGGUAGAUUUGAUUUUGGGUGAUGAUCAGGGAGUGCCUACCUAGUUGGCCACUAGUUAAUUUUUGUAUAAAUACAGGGUUUGCUUGAUCAACAACUUGAAUAUUUUAUACUAAGUAUCUAAACUAAUCCUUUUAUUUUCACUGAAAACUGUUAUAUUUCC